This 253-nucleotide ribosomal RNA is filed under the name uncultured bacterium. RNAcentral's name for it is "partial 16S ribosomal RNA". It matches the Rfam family "Bacterial small subunit ribosomal RNA", at positions 524 to 776 of the family's 1533-position model. The record is from RNAcentral.
UACAGAGACUGCAAGCGUUAUUCGGAUUCACUGGGCGUAAAGGGUGCGCAGGCGGUUGGGUGUGUCAGAUGUGAAAUCCCGAGGCUCAACCUCGGAACUGCGUCUGAAACUACUCGACUAGAGUACUGGAGAGGGUAACGGAAUUCACGGUGUAGCAGUGAAAUGCGUAGAUAUCGUGAGGAACACCAGAGGCGAAGGCGGUUACCUGGACAGUUACUGACGCUCAGGCACGAAAACAUGGGGAGCAAAAGGG